GAUGAACGCUGGCGGCGUGCCUAAUACAUGCAAGUCGAGCGGUAAGGCUCUCACUCUGUAUUUAAAUAUUUUGAAUAUAGUGUGAGAGUACACGAGCGGCGGACGGCUGAGUAACACGUAGGAACGUACCCCAAAGUGAGGGAUAAGCACCGGAAACGGUGUCUAAUACCGCAUGUGCUCUUCGGAGGAAAGCUUCGGCGCUUUGGGAACGGCCUGCGCAUGAUUAGCUUGUUGGUGAGGUAAAAGCUCACCAAGGCUAUGAUCAUUAGCUGGUCUGAGAGGAUGACCAGCCAGACUGGGACUGAGAACGGCCCAGACACCUACGGGUGGCUG
RNAcentral lists this ribosomal RNA (333 nucleotides) under uncultured Candidatus Saccharibacteria bacterium. Its description in RNAcentral is "bacterial SSU rRNA". It matches the Rfam family "Bacterial small subunit ribosomal RNA", at positions 28 to 351 of the family's 1533-position model. The record is from RNAcentral. Lineage: Bacteria; Candidatus Saccharimonadota.